CGCCUGGGGAGUACGGCCGCAAGGUUAAAACUCAAAUGAAUUGACGGGGGCCCGCACAAGCGGUGGAGCAUGUGGUUUAAUUCGACGCAACGCGAAGAACCUUACCUGGCCUUGACAUCCAGAGAACUUUCCAGAGAUGGAUUGGUGCCUUCGGGAACUCUGAGACAGGUGCUGCAUGGCCGUCGUCAGCUCGUGUCGUGAGAUGUUGGGUUAAGUCCCGUAACGAGCGCAACCCCUAUCCCUGGUUGCUAGCAGGUAAUGCUGAGAACUCCAGGGAGACUGCCGGUGACAAACCGGAGGAAGGUGGGGAUGACGUCAGGUCAUCAUGGCCCUUACGGCCAGGGCUACACACGUGCUACAAUGGCGCGUACAGAGGGCUGCCAACUCGCGAGAGUGAGCCAAUCCCUUAAAACGCGUCGUAGUCCGGAUCGGAGUCUGCAACUCGACUCCGUGAAGUCGGAAUCGCUAGUAAUCGCGAAUCAGAAUGUCGCGGUGAAUACGUUCCCGGGCCUUGUACACACCGCCCGUCACACCAUGGGAGUGGAUUGCACCAGAAGUAGUUAGUCUAACCUUCGGGAGGACGAUUACCACGGUGCGGUUCAUGACUGGGGUGAAGUCGUAACAAGGUAACCGUA
RNAcentral lists this ribosomal RNA (635 nucleotides) under uncultured Marinobacter sp. RNAcentral's name for it is "bacterial SSU rRNA". It matches the Rfam family "Bacterial small subunit ribosomal RNA", at positions 870 to 1504 of the family's 1533-position model. The record is from RNAcentral. Lineage: Bacteria; Pseudomonadati; Pseudomonadota; Gammaproteobacteria; Pseudomonadales; Marinobacteraceae.